Molecule: long non-coding RNA, 3095 nt
Filed under: Marmota monax (woodchuck)
Lineage: Eukaryota; Metazoa; Chordata; Mammalia; Rodentia; Sciuridae
Source: RNAcentral
GGGGAGGAGUCCCGUAAUAGCAGAAAGUGGAGAGGGAAUGGGGACCCGGAGGAUGAAGAUCGAGUUCCCGGGAAGUGGGCGACCCAGCGGGCGGAGGCUGGGGUCUCUGGGGACGGGGUCCAGGUGCUGACGGUCCCCUCCUUCCCGGCAGUGUCGCUCUGGAAGCCGAGUUGGGUCCCCAGCGCAGAGGGUCGCGCCCCCGACCCCGCUCAGGGUCCCGAUCCAGGGCCAGCCCCCGCUCGCGCUCUCGCCCUGGGCCGUCCAAGGGUUGCCGGCGGCCGCCGCGGCGAGAAGGAUGAGUCCCUCCCCAGCAGGAUGGGGCUCCGGGCCAGGAGGACAGGUACUGUGGGGACGCAGCGGGGACGGUGUGAAGACGCCCAGUGCCGGAUGAGAUGCCCAGUUCACACCGUCCGCGCUCAGAACCGGGAGACCCAGGCACCGGACCACCUGAUGUCUGGUCGACAGGUGGGGAAACUGAGCCCGUUCGGUCACGUGGUGAAAUAAGGACCUGACCGAGUUCUCUAACCCACAAUGUGACCUGCAUCCCACAAACAAGGGAACUGGAGGUCCAGCCCUAACUCAGGAGUGACCUCUCUAGGCUUCACUUUAUACUGCUUGCAAAACAAGUGACUUUCCAGUCAGUUUUGAUAACAAAAACUGACAAUUAUGGCCCUUCCCCCUGCGAGAUGGAACUUUAAUAGAGAACCAAAUAACCCCUAGUACUUAUGGAUCAAAUGAGAAAUGUUAUGAAUUCUGGAAAAAAGUCAUCAGAAUCAGAGCCAAGGUGAGGGUGUCCACUAUCGAGUAUUUAAUAUCAUUCUGGAGGUACCAGCCAAUGCAAUUAGACAAGGCAAAGAAAUAAGAGGUAUGAACACAGGAGAAAGAGGAUUUGUAGGUUGAAUCAUAUGAAAGUGUUCUUUCUAUAGGUCAGAGGUUACAGAAAUGUCGACAAUUUGAUAUGGCCUUAAUUUCACAUUAUUUGUAGUUUUUAGAUUUACAUUUAUUUUUUUAUUUUUAAAAUGUUUGCCUUUUCAUCUAAAUUUAACCUAAUUCAACAUUAGGUAUUAAUUCAGGCUAAUGGAAAAAAUUGGAAGUCCCCUCCAUUUGGAUUUGUUUGCUGCCUCCUCAUUAUUGGAUUCAGGUUAGAAUUUUGGGUAGGAUCAUCCCCAACAUGAUUCAAUCUAUUAGUUAUUUUCUGGUCAUAUAAUUUUAUAUAUAGAAAACCCCGGAGAAUGGACUGAAACUUACUUUUUUGUUUGUAAGCAAUUAGUUAGACAAUCCUUUGGAAGGGGAAAAAAAAAAGGUCCCAUUUCAGAUCUUUUUUAAAAAAGGUUUUUUGGAGGCUGGGGCUGGGGCUCAGUGGCAGAGCACUUGCCUAGCAUGUGUGAGACUCUGGGUUUGAUCCUCAGCACCACAUGAAAAUAAAUAAAUAAAAUAAAGGUAUAAAAAGGCAAAACAAAACAAAAAAAAGGGUUUUUUUUCUUGUUUGUUUAUUUUUUUGUGAUGCUGGGGAUUGAACCCAGGGCCUUGUGCAUGUGAGGCAAGCACUCUACCAACUGAGCUAUAUUCCCAACCCCCCCAAAAUGUUUUGAAUUGUAAAAUAUACAUAAUACAAAAUCAACCAUAUUACCCUUUAUCCACCCCCCCCAGUUUUUUGUGGUGCUGGAAAUGGAACCUAGGGCUAUGCACAUGGUAGAUAGGCAGAGCUCUACCACUGAGCCUCACCCCCAGCCCUGUGUUAACCAUUAUUGUUUGUAUAAUUCAUUGGCAUCAACUAUACAUUCACAAUAUUGUAUAACCAUCAUCACUCUCUAUUUCCAUUAUCCCAUUAACUCUCCCAUUAAACAAUUACUCCCCCCCAGCCCCUACUAACAUCUGUCUCCUUUCUGUCCCUAUGAACUUGCCUAUUCUACUUAUUUCAUAAAAGUGAAAUCAGACAAUAUUUGCUCUUUGUGUCAGUUGUUUUUCUCAGUAUAAUGUUUUCAAAGUUCAUUUGGGUUGCAAUAUGCAUAUAUCAGAAUUUUAUUCCUUUUAAUGACUACAUAAUAUCCCAUUAUAUGUGUAUAACAUGUUUGGGGGUUUUGUUAUUUUAUUUUAUAUUUAUUUUGUAGGUCUCACUAUGCCCAGGCUGUCCUUGAACUCCAGGGUUCAAAUGAUCUUCCUGCCUCAGCCUCCAAGUAGCUGGGACUACAGGCCCAUUAUAUCACCAUGCUUGGCUGUGUGGUCCCUUUAGUUUUUUCUACCUUGUAGUUUUGCAAAGAUUAAAAAAAAAAUCCCCAAAAUAAAAAGUUGAAUACACUGAGUUGGCACUGAUGCGGAGAAAGAAACAGUCCCACACUGUGCUGGUGGGACUGCCUGUCAGUACAGUUGUUUUGGAAAACAGUUUUCUAGGCUCUCACAAAAUUAAAGGUGCAAGCUGGGUGUAAGGAUGCACACCUGUCAUCCCAGUGACUGGAGUCUGAGACAGGAGGAUCACAAGUUCGAGGCCAGCCUCAGCAACUUAGUGAGGCCCUAAGCAAUGUAGUGAGACCCUGUCUCAAAAUAAAACGUAAAAAAGGACUGGGAAUGUGGCUCAAUGGGUAGGCACCCCUGGGUUCAAUCCCUAGUACAGAAAGAAAGAAAGAGAGAGAGAGAGAGAGAGAGAGAAAGAAAGAACCUAAAAAUGCAUAUACCCUUGACCCAUCAAUUCCCUUCUAGGAGUUUUCCUACAGUCAUGUUUAUAUGAGUAUAAAAUGAUGGGCUUAGUGUCGGGCAGAAUCCUGUGGGCUCAUGCACACAAAGUGUUAAGUUUUGCUGUGAGAAAGUAUGAACUCUUUGAACUGUGUCCUUGUUGCUGUCUUAAGAAGAGAAAAGAAUGUUCUGCCAAGUGUAAAAUUUAUAUAUAUAUGUAUGUGUUUGCCUGGGAAUAACUAACCACAAGUUAAUUGAUAAGAAAUACGGAGCACUGUGGCCAUAAACAAAGUUUUCCUGAGAAUGUUUAUCCAUGCCUGUAAGGAUUGAGCUGACGAAAGGAUGUUUCUUCUUGUCCUUUGUCUUAAUUAGCAAUGCUGUAUAAAAGAAGGAGAGAGAAAAGUAAAGACGGUGCUCAUUUCUAC